RNAcentral lists this ribosomal RNA (464 nucleotides) under uncultured bacterium. Its description in RNAcentral is "partial 16S ribosomal RNA". It matches the Rfam family "Bacterial small subunit ribosomal RNA", at positions 339 to 795 of the family's 1533-position model. The record is from RNAcentral.
CUACGGGCUGCUGCAGUGAGGAAUAUUGCGCAAUGGGGGAAACCCUGACGCAGCGACGCCGCGUGGAUGAUGAAGGCCUUCGGGUCGUAAAAUCCUGUCAGAAGGAAAGAAGUGUAUGGUAGCUAAUAUCUGCCAUAUUUGACGGUACCUUCAAAGGAAGCACCGGCUAACUCCGUGCCAGCAGCCGCGGUAAUACGGAGGGUGCAAGCGUUGUUCGGAAUUACUGGGCGUAAAGCGCGCGUAGGCGGUUUUAUAAGUCAGAUGUGAAAGUCCACGGCUCAACCAUGGAAGUGCAUUUGAAACUGUAAGACUUGAGUAUUGGAGGGGGUAGUGGAAUUCCCGGUGUAGAGGUGAAAUUCGUAGAUAUCGGGAGGAAUACCGGUGGCGAAGGCGACUACCUGGCCAAAUACUGACGCUGAGGUGCGAAAGCGUGGGAGCAAACAGGAUUAGAUACCCGUGUAGUC